This 209-nucleotide long non-coding RNA is filed under the name Sorghum bicolor (sorghum). RNAcentral describes it as "long non-coding RNA (SBIC_LNC013437)". The record is from RNAcentral. Lineage: Eukaryota; Viridiplantae; Streptophyta; Magnoliopsida; Poales; Poaceae.
ACAAUACCGCUUUCAAAACUUGGUCAAGGAUGUAAUGUGCACAGUUAAAAAAGUAGAGGGAUGUUUUUUGCCUAAUUUUAAAGUUUAGAGAUGAAAAAUAGACUUUCAUGUAGCACUUUGGUCAAAAAUAUAGAUUUAAAACUCCAAAAAGAUUAUUAUAUGCUAUGUAUAUAAUAAUUUAAUUUUUCGUCGAGAAUUUACUAUGGAGG